RNAcentral lists this ribosomal RNA (506 nucleotides) under uncultured bacterium. RNAcentral describes it as "partial 16S ribosomal RNA". It matches the Rfam family "Bacterial small subunit ribosomal RNA", at positions 29 to 523 of the family's 1533-position model. The record is from RNAcentral.
AGUGAACGCUGGCGGUAGGCCUAACACAUGCAAGUCGAACGGCAGCACAGAGGAGCUUGCUCCUUGGGUGGCGAGUGGCGGACGGGUGAGGAAUACAUCGGAAUCUACUCUGUCGUGGGGGAUAACGUAGGGAAACUUACGCUAAUACCGCAUCCGACCUACGGGGGAAAGCAGGGGAUCUUCGGACCUCGCGCGAUUGAAUGAGCCGAUGUCGGGUUGGCUAGUUGGCGGGGUAAAGGCCCACCAAGGCGACGAUCCGUCGCUGGUCUGAGAGGAUGAUCAGCCACACUGGAACUGAGACACGGUCCAGACUCCUACGGGAGGCAGCAGUGGGGAAUAUUGGACAAUGGGCGCAAGCCUGAUCCAGCCAUACCGCGUGGGUGAAGAAGGCCUUCGGGUUGUAAAGCCCUUUUGUUGGGAAAGAAAUCCAUCUGGUUAAUACCCGGGUGGGAUGACGGUACCCAAAGAAUAAGCACCGGCUAACUUCGUGCCAGCCGCCGCCGUAA